This 415-nucleotide ribosomal RNA is filed under the name uncultured bacterium. Its description in RNAcentral is "bacterial SSU rRNA". It matches the Rfam family "Bacterial small subunit ribosomal RNA", at positions 28 to 439 of the family's 1533-position model. The record is from RNAcentral.
GACGAACGCUGGCGGCGUGCUUAACACAUGCAAGUCUACGAGAACGAGGUAGCAAUAUCUCUAUUAAAGUGGCGCACGGGUGCGUAACACGUAAGCAAUCUACCUUUGGGUCUGGAAUAACUUCGAGAAAUCGAGGCUAAUACCGGAUAAUGCAGCGGCAUCGCAUGGUGAUGUUGUUAAAGUUUAAGUAAUGCCUAUAGAUGAGCUUGCGUCUGAUUAGCUAGUUGGUAGGGUAAAAGCCUACCAAGGCUACGAUCAGUAGCUGGUCUGAGAGGAUGAUCAGCCACACUGGAACUGAGACACGGUCCAGACUCCUACGGGAGGCAGCAGUGAGGAAUAUUGGGCAAUGCCCGCAAGGGUGACCCAGCAACGCCGCGUGGAGGAUGAAGGCCGUAAGGUUGUAAACUCCUGUUAG